Molecule: ribosomal RNA, 277 nt
Filed under: Ochromonas sp.
Lineage: Eukaryota; Chrysophyceae; Chromulinales; Chromulinaceae
Description: partial 18S ribosomal RNA
Rfam family: Eukaryotic small subunit ribosomal RNA
Source: RNAcentral
AAUCUAUACGUGAAACUGCGAAUGGCUCAUUAUAUCAGUUAUAGUUUAUUUGAUGGUUCUUGCUACUUGGAUAACCGUAGUAAUUCUAGAGCUAAUACAUGCGUCAAACCCCGACUUCUGGGAGGGGUGUAUUUAUUAGAUGGAAACCAAUGCGGGGCAACCCGGUAUAUGGUGAUUCAUAAUAACUUUCGGAUCGAUCUUCGGAUCGAUGCAUCAUUCAAGUUUCUGCCCUAUCAGCUUUGGAUGGUAGGGUAUUGGCCUACCAUGGCUUUAACGG